Columba livia (rock pigeon) is the source of this 1631-nucleotide long non-coding RNA. RefSeq lists it as uncharacterized. The transcript is spliced from 2 exons. The record is from RefSeq and is a predicted model, not a curated record. Lineage: Eukaryota; Metazoa; Chordata; Aves; Columbiformes; Columbidae.
CGCCGGUGGCGGCCGCGCCCUCAGGGCUCGGCGGAGGGGGCUGGCGGCUGCGGACAGCCGGGCGGGGUGGCCCGGCCCGCUCUGGUUUGGGGCCACCGUCCGUUAUGGCCCCGGGCUGUCCAGGGCCUCAACCACAGCGCACCCGACACAGGGAUUCACUUCUUUUUCUUCCUAACCCUACAGUGACUCAGCCGUCCGCCUCGGGCUCCGCGUUGCCCAGAGUGUCCCCACCGCCGGCAGGGCCGCCCCACAGGCUCCUGCUCAGAUCUGCAUUUCUCAAAACCGCAUUAAAACACUCCCCGUGCAUUUCCAGAAUGGGAAGCGUGAGGAGCGAUCGCUCCCAAACAUCUCCCAGGCGCGUGCAAGAAGCGACCCGGCGCCCUUGGACACGGAGCUAAUGCGAUUUGAAAUACAAAAUUUAGCACCCUUAAACCGAGUUAGCACAGGGAAAUGACGAGAUGCGAGCUCAGAGCAGAAGUGCCAGCGCCGAGCCCGACCCUGCGGUGCCCACAUGCCACGUUGGAACCGCAGCCGCGAUUGCUGCCAGCAGCCGCGGGAGGGGGGUUAAUAAAGCAUUCACUAACUACAUCUAAAUUCCCUUAAAAAUCCUCUCAGGGAAAGCUUUCCUUCCAUGAAAAACUGACAGAGAUUAUACAAAAGAAAAAAAAAUAUAUAUAUAUAUAAAUAGGAUGGGAUUAAUUGAAAAUUCUACAUUGCCAAUAGCUGGGAGGGUUUUGUUUCAGGUUUUCCAAUAUGGAUUCUAAAUUUUAUCUAGAGGUAUUCUUAUAAGACUCAUUAAGAGGUUUUACAUUUAGAAUCCAAAGAAAGGAAAGUCACAAUCCCACAGUAAAUUAGCCUGGUUUUAAUCAGAUCUGAAAUUAUAUUCUCCUGCUAGAGGAUUUUGUGUCACUAGGAAUACAAUAAAGUAUGUAGGGUCAGGGAAAACGACCUCUCAGGAGGUCUGUAUUUGCUGUCAUUCUGCUUCCACAGCAGAUUUCUCUUGAACAGUUAAUAAAAUUUCCUCUCCUCAGGAUGAGGUUUCCAAAUUUGUAUUUUGUAUACAUAGCUGUGUUUUUUCUGAUUCAUUUAGCCUCAUCAACAACAAUAAAGAUACUGAAUCAGAACAAGCUGGCAAUUUUGUUGCUGAAACAUGGGAGAGAGCGGACUCCAGCUGGCUCUUCAGCAAAUAUAUUGGCCAGUUGACAGGAAUAAAACGGCAAGAAACCUGACACAGAAAACACGGGUGGCAAGAGGAGACAGCCAGCAGAGGCAGGGUGCCCAGCACAAGACACUUGGCCAUGCUGGACAUUCAUGACUCUCCAUGGAGGCUCUUGAAUCAGCAAGUAGCCAGGUCUGACUCACUGUCUGAAAGGGCACCUAAGAAUCAAAGUCCAUUUUUAAAUCUUCACAAUGCUCAAGCCAACAGGUGAAGGAAUCUAUUCGAGAAACAGAAACUCCAGCACAGAGAAACACAUUCACCUUUUCAAAGACUGUCUGCCAUUAGUAGACACAGAUGUAAGGAUUUUUUAAACUUAAUUCAAUAUCAAAGGCACAUGUUCUGUGUAAAUGUCAGACAUUUUUACUUGUUUUUCUACUAGAUUACUGUGGUUAAAAUAAACAUUUACAACAUC